AUCCAUGUCCCUACAAAGGGCAUGAACUCAUCCUUUUUUAUGGCUGCAUAGUAUUGCAUGGUGAUUGCACAUUCAUUUUAAGAUCACAUGGCACAUUUACAAACUAAAAAGAAAAUUUAAAAAUAAAACCACGUUGAAAAUGUAUCACUGACAUCUUUUUACAUCAGUUACAGAGUUUAUGGUGCAUUUUUCUUUUAUUUAUUUUUUGUUUUUCCUUUUACUGUGACCCCUUUUUGGUGAAUAUGGUGCAUUUUUAAAUAUAAAGGUCCACUAAGUAGUCAGGAGUGUCAUAAAGUAGGUGUUAAAGUGGCUCAGUCUUUUGCUGUUUAAAAACACGUUUUUUAUUUGCAUGGCACGUUGUGAUGGUGUCUCAUGUCAAUGCAUUUUGUCACCUGCUGUGAUUUUCUUCUUCAUUUACGCCAUCUUGGCUUAUCAUAAACUAGUAGAAUGAGUACUUUACCUGCAGAAUUCUCUCCUGAUUCCCUCUAGGAACCUCAGUCCUAACCAGACCUCAGAUAGGGUUAAAGGGUGGGGGCAGUCAGGGACUUGGGUUAAGGAUAUUCCCCUCCCCAGUUCCAGAACUGUAGAGAUAAGUAGAUGUAUCACUGACAUCUUUUUACAUCAGUUACAGAGUUUAUGGUGCAUUUUUCUUUUA
This 655-nucleotide long non-coding RNA is filed under the name Homo sapiens (human). Its description in RNAcentral is "non-protein coding lnc-HS3ST3B1-8:2". Lineage: Eukaryota; Metazoa; Chordata; Mammalia; Primates; Hominidae. The record is from RNAcentral.